CCUACGGGGCGCUGCAGUGAGGAAUAUUGGUCAAUGGACGCAAGUCUGAACCAGCCAUGCCGCGUGCAGGAAGACGGCUCUAUGAGUUGUAAACUGCUUUUGUACGAGGGUAAACGCAGAUACGCGUAUCUUUCUGAACGUAUCGUACGAAUAAGGAUCGGCUAACUCCGUGCCAGCAGCCGCGGUAAUACGGAGGAUUCAAGCGUUAUCCGGAUUUAUUGGGUUUAAAGGGUGCGUAGGCGGUCGGAUAAGUUAGAGGUGAAAUCCCGAGGCUCAACUUCGGAAUUGCCUCUGAUACUGUUCGGCUAGAGAGUAGUUGCGGUAGGCGGAAUGUAUGGUGUAGCGGUGAAAUGCUUAGAGAUCAUACAGAACACCGAUUGCGAAGACAGCUUACCAAGCUACUUCUGACGUUGAGGCACGAAAGCGUGGGGAGCAAACAGGAUUAGAUACCCGAGUAGUC
This 460-nucleotide ribosomal RNA is filed under the name uncultured bacterium. RNAcentral's name for it is "partial 16S ribosomal RNA". It matches the Rfam family "Bacterial small subunit ribosomal RNA", at positions 338 to 795 of the family's 1533-position model. The record is from RNAcentral.